AGUGAAUAGAUACCCGGGUAGUCCUAGCCGUAAACGAUACUCGCUAGGUGUCGGCCACGGUGCGACCGUUGUCGGUGCCGUAGGGAAAGCCGUGAAGCGAGCCACCUGGGAAGUACGGCCGCAAGGCUGAAACUUAAAGGAAUUGGCGGGGGAGCACCACAACGGGUGGGGCUUGCGGUUUAAUUGGAUUCAACGCCGGAAAUCUUACCGGGACCGACAGCAAUAUGAAGGCCAGGCUGAAGACUUUGCCGGAUUAGCUGAGAGGUGGUGCAUGGCCGUCGUCAGUUCGUACUGUGAAAGCAUCCUGUUAAGUCAGGCAACGAGCGAGACCCACGCCCACAGUUGCCAGCGUACUCUCCGGAGUGACGGGUACACUGUGGGGACCGCCGCUGCUAAAGCGGAGGAAGGAAUGGGCAACGGUAGGUCAGUAUGCCCCGAAUAUCCCGGGCUACACGCGAGCUACAAUGGUUGGUACAAUGGGUAUCUACCCCGAAAGGGGAUGGAAAUCUCCUAAAGCCAAUCUUAGUUCGGAUCGAGGGCUGCAACUCGCCCUC
RNAcentral lists this ribosomal RNA (554 nucleotides) under uncultured bacterium. RNAcentral describes it as "bacterial SSU rRNA". It matches the Rfam family "Archaeal small subunit ribosomal RNA", at positions 725 to 1275 of the family's 1478-position model. The record is from RNAcentral.